CUCCUGCCCAGUGAUUUUUUAAACGGCCGCUUAAGUGCUAAGGUAGCAUAAUAAUUCGCCUUUUAAUUGGAGGCUAGAAUGAAUGGAAAUUUAAAUUAUUGCUUUAUUUUAAUUAAAUUUAAAAAUUAAAUUUACUGUGAAAAUCCAGUAAUUCCAUAAAAAGACCAAAAGACCCUAUGAGCUUAAAUUUAAUAAAAUAACUUUAUUUUACAAAUUUUUAUUGGGGUGAUAAAGGACAACCCUCCUUAAAAUUUCUACUUAUUACUUUACAAUAUAAAACCUAGCUACCUUAGGGAUAACAGGCUACUCUUUUUUAAAAGUUCAAAUUUACAAAAAGAUCUAGCACCUCGAUGUUGGCUUAAGAGUAUGUAAAAUGUAGCAGUUUUAUUUAAUGGCUUGUUCCGCCAAUAAUUUCUU
Molecule: ribosomal RNA, 417 nt
Filed under: cf. Dorvilleidae sp. DH-2009
Lineage: Eukaryota; Metazoa; Annelida; Polychaeta; Eunicida; Dorvilleidae
Description: partial 16S ribosomal RNA
Rfam family: Bacterial large subunit ribosomal RNA
Source: RNAcentral